GAUGAACGCUGGCGGCGUGCUUAACACAUGCAAGUCGAGCGAGAAGUUUUGAAAAGAUUCUUCGGAUGAAAUUUAAAAUGGAAAGCGGCGGACGGGUGAGUAACGCGUAGGCAACCUGCCCCAUACAAAGGGAUAGCAUUUGGAAACGAAUAUUAAUACCUUAUGAAACUUAACUAGUGCAUGCUAGGUAGGUCAAAGAUUUAUCGGUAUGGGAUGGGCCUGCGUCUGAUUAGCUAGUUGGUGAGGUAACGGCUCACCAAGGCGACGAUCAGUAGCCGACCUGAGAGGGUGAACGGCCACAUUGGAACUGAGACACGGUCCAAACUCCUACGGGAGGCAGCAGUGGGGAAUAUUGCACAAUGGGGGAAACCCUGAUGCAGCAACGCCGCGUGAACGAUGAAGGCCUUUGGGUCGUAAAGUUCUGUUCU
Molecule: ribosomal RNA, 428 nt
Filed under: [Eubacterium] brachy
Lineage: Bacteria; Bacillati; Bacillota; Clostridia; Peptostreptococcales; Anaerovoracaceae
Description: bacterial SSU rRNA
Rfam family: Bacterial small subunit ribosomal RNA
Source: RNAcentral